AAGUAUAGCCAUAGAGGGUGAUAGUCCCGUAUGCGAAAAACAAACCUUAGCUAGCAGUAUCCUGAGUAGGGCGGGACACGAGAAAUCCUGUCUGAAGCUGGGUCGACCACGAUCCAACCCUAAAUACUAAUACCAGAUCGAUAGUGCACAAGUACCGUGAGGGAAAGGUGAAAAGAACUGAGGUGAUCAGAGUGAAAUAGAACCUGAAACCAUUUGCUUACAAUCAUUCAGAGCCCUAUGUAGCAAUACAGGGUGAUGGACUGCCUUUUGCAUAAUGAGCCUGCGAGUUGUGGUGUCUGGCAAGGUUAAGCAAACGCGAAGCCGUAGCGAAAGCGAGUCUGAAUAGGGCGCUUAGUCAGAUGCUGCAGACCCGAAACGAAGUGAUCUAUCCAUGAGCAAGUUGAAGCUAGUGUAAGAACUAGUGGAGGACUGAACCCAUAGGCGUUGAAAAGCCCCGGGAUGACUUGUGGAUAGGGGUGAAAGGCCAAUCAAACUUCGUGAUAGCUGGUUCUCUCCGAAAUAUAUUUAGGUAUAGCGUUGUGUCGUAAUAUAAGGGGGUAGAGCACUGAAUGGGCUAGGGCAUACACCAAUGUACCAAACCCUAUCAAACUCCGAAUACCUUAUAUGUAAUCACAGCAGUCAGGCGGCGAGUGAUAAAAUCCGUCGUCAAGAGGGAAACAACCCAGACUACCAGCUAAGGUCCCUAAAUCUUACUUAAGUGGAAAACGAUGUGAAGUUACUUAAACAACCAGGAGGUUGGCUUAGAAGCAGCCAUCCUUUAAAGAAAGCGUAAUAGCUCACUGGUCUAGUGAUUUUGCGCGGAAAAUAUAACGGGGCUAAAGUAAGUACCGAAGCUGUAGACUUGCGCACAACUUAGAUUAUUUAAGUUUAGAAUAUGAGAAACUAAGUUAUAUGUUUAGUUAUAUUUUUACUGAUUUUUAUAGAGUAAAGAUAGAAAUAAAACUUAGUAAAAUCAGUAAAAAUAUUCUUAGACUAAAGUUAAGUAGUUUAAGUUGUGUGCAAGUGGUAGGAGAGCGUUCUAUUUGCGUCGAAGGUAUACCGGUAAGGAGUGCUGGAGCGAAUAGAAGUGAGCAUGCAGGCAUGAGUAGCGAUAAUUAAUGUGAGAAUCAUUAACGCCGUAAACCCAAGGUUUCCUACGCGAUGCUCGUCAUCGUAGGGUUAGUCGGGUCCUAAGUCGAGUCCGAAAGGGGUAGACGAUGGCAAAUUGGUUAAUAUUCCAAUACCAACAUUAGUGUGCGAUGGAAGGACGCUUAGGGCUAAGGGGGCUAGCGGAUGGAAGUGCUAGUCUAAGGUCGUAGGAGGUUAUACAGGCAAAUCCGUAUAACAAUACUCCGAGAACUGAAAGGCUUUUUGAAGUCUUCGGAUGGAUAGAAGAACCCCUGAUGCCGUCGAGCCAAGAAAAGUUUCUAAGUUUAGCUAAUGUUGCCCGUACCGUAAACCGACACAGGUGGGUGGGAUGAGUAUUCUAAGGCGCGUGGAAGAACUCUCUUUAAGGAACUCUGCAAAAUAGCACCGUAUCUUCGGUAUAAGGUGUGGUUCGCUUCGUAUUAGGAUUUACUCCGAAAGCGAAGAAACUUACAACAAAGAGUCCCUCCCGACUGUUUACCAAAAACACAGCACUCUGCUAACUCGUAAGAGGAUGUAUAGGGUGUGACGCCUGCCCGGUGCUCGAAGGUUAAUUGAUGGGGUUAGCAUUAGCGAAGCUCUUGAUCGAAGCCCGAGUAAACGGCGGCCGUAACUAUAACGGUCCUAAGGUAGCGAAAUUCCUUGUCGGUUAAAUACCGACCUGCAUGAAUGGCGUAACGAGAUGGGAGCUGUCUCAAAGAGGGAUCCAGUGAAAUUGUAGUGGAGGUGAAAAUUCCUCCUACCCGCGGCAAGACGGAAAGACCCCGUGGACCUU
Molecule: ribosomal RNA, 1921 nt
Filed under: Campylobacter coli
Lineage: Bacteria; Pseudomonadati; Campylobacterota; Epsilonproteobacteria; Campylobacterales; Campylobacteraceae
Description: partial 23S ribosomal RNA
Rfam family: Bacterial large subunit ribosomal RNA
Source: RNAcentral